Molecule: long non-coding RNA, 2806 nt
Filed under: Podarcis lilfordi (Lilford's wall lizard)
Lineage: Eukaryota; Metazoa; Chordata; Lepidosauria; Squamata; Lacertidae
Source: RNAcentral
GAACAAGCAACAUCUACUAAGCUAAAGGUGCCCUCUUGGCUCCCAGCCAAGAGAGGAGAAAGGGACUAUCUUCUUAUAAGAUAGAAUCCAAAUGUAUAUUACUUCACUAAGCUUUAAGUCUGCCUUCUGGGAUCUAAUUGUGAACAGAAUGUAAGUAAACUCUUUUUAUACUUUUGUAAAAGACUGUGUCGUGUCUUCUAUUUUAAGUGGGAAUAAAGGGGAAAUUACCAGUAUAGUUAUUAUAAAGGUUCUAGCGAACCUGAGCAAAUGCUGCUGUUGCAAACUUAAAAUAAAGCGGAAUGUUUUACUCUGCUGAUAUUGGGAACUUGUUAGCACAAGUUGGAUAAGGAUAUAAUCAGUCAAUAUAUCCUCUCCUGCAUCCCUGAACAUUCCCACAGUAGAGACCAAACUGGGAACAAAUAGCUGUUCUGUGUUUCUUAUGGAUUCAGCUGUGGCCCAAAGAGAUGGUCUGAUAUAAAUCUAGGAGCACAGGAAUCGGCCAGGUACUGACUCAGACCAUUGGGUCCUUUGUAACUCAACUGCCUGUACUGUCUAUGACUUUGCAGGGCUUCAGAUGGGGACACUGGAAAGGUUAGAGAGCAAUCCUAGGACCUUCUGCAUUCAGUGUAUGUACCAUUCCACUGAGCUAUGGGCUUUCCCUAAAGGCAAGGAUGGCGCACAAAGCACGGCUGGCCAUCAGCCAUGGCUUGGGGAAGGAGAUGGGUUAUGGCAAGGGGAUUUCACGAGGGCCAUCUACAGGGGCUUGGACACAUUUGCCCCACUGGUCUGUUCUGUUCAAGCACCCUACAGGGGCCACUAGAUGCUAAUAGUAAUCCCAGCAGCAGGACAUAACAGCAACAGAUGUCUACCUGGCAGCCAGUCCCACUGGUGUAUACAGGCCAAGGACAGAGGCUAACAAUAGAAGUCCAACAGUUCAGGAAACACGGUCCAGGUUCAAUACAGCAAGCCAAGUCCAACUUCCAACAGUCAGGCCAGGUUCCCACCUCUGUAGCCAAUUCAGGAUCAGGGAACCUGGGGUUCAGUCCCCAAAAGCAGGCUUGUGGAGCUCCUAGGGCACCCAAGCUGUGGUCCAUCAACAUGGGAAGUUGAGCAGACACAGCACCUCAGCUCUGCUUCCUUUUUAUCCCUUGAAUCUUGAUUGCAGCACCUGGGUUUGAAGGGGCAUGUGACCCCCACCUGUCCGGAGCCUAAUGCAGCUGAGGAAUCCCACACCUCCUCCCAGAGCUAAUAAGCCCCAACUGGCCAACUAGUGAGCUAGGCUGCGGGUUCUUGCCUGUCUCAGCCUCCUAGAAUGCACCUUCCGUUGCCCCUGAUGCCUCAGAGCCCACCAUGCUUAUGAAGACAGGGCCUCCUCUGGCUCCUGAAGGAAUGUCUCCACCCCCAUCGUUCUGCCUGGACACUGAGGUCCAGUGCUGAGGGCCUUCUGGUGGUUCCCUCACUGCGAGAAGCAAAGCUACAGGGAACCAGGCAGAGGGCCUUCUCAGUAGUGGUGCCCGCCCUGUGGAAUGCCCUCCCAUCAGAUGUCAAAGAAAUAAACAACUAUCUGACAUUUAGAAGAUAUCUAAAGGCAGCCCUGUUUAGGGAAGUUUUAAUGUCUGAUGUUUUAAUAUAUUUUUAAUCUUUUGUUGGGCGGGGUAUAAAUAAUAAAUAAUAAUUAUUAUUAUUAUUAUUAUUAUUAUUAUUAUUAUUAUUAUUAUGGUCUUGCCCCUCUGUUUCCUGUGCACUGACUCCCCCCCUCCCCUCACCAUCCCCUCACUGAGUUAGACCUACUGACCUGGUGUAAUUCUUAUAGGAAACCAGUAUCUGACUUAAAUCCAAAUUCUCCAAAGUAAUGAAGACUGAUGUUUUGUUUAGUGCUGUCCAACAGUGACUUUUCUUGCACUUUAGCAGAAAACUGGCUUGUGUCCCAAAGGAUCCACGAGCCAAGACGUACAUUUCUGUCUCUUAUUCAGAAAGUCCUGGUUCUUGAACAUUAGAUAUGUGGUUCUCUGGUUGACAUUUCUUCCAUAGUCCCACACUUCUGACUCAACUCAGGAAAUCUACUGUAUUUCAUGUCAUGCUUUGAUUAAUAACGGGUGAAUUCGCCUUGACUGAGUCAAUUCAGAAUUGACUCAGUAUUUAUUUAUAAGCUUUCUUGGAACAACUCCCCUGUUUCUGACUGGGUUGACAUGCCUACUCAAAAGCAAGGUCCACUGAGCUGAAUGGGAUUUACUUCCGGGUAAUAUAGAAUUGCAGCCUUAGCGUUCUCUCCUGGCUUGCAGUGUUGACACAGGUGUGCUCAUAGGAUGAAGAAAGGCUGCAGCAUUUGGGACUUUUUAGUUCAGAGAAAAGGCGAGUGAGAGGGGACACAAUACAGUGGUACCUUGAUUUUCGAACAUAAUCCAUUUUGGAAGACUGUUCAAGUCCCAAAACGUUCAAAAACUGAAAAUUCAAUACGGAAAAUUCAAUACCGAAGCCAUGUUUCCGGUUUGACUUUCGAGGCGCGUUCGAAAACUGAAGCAUUUACUUCCGGGUUCGAAAACCAAAAUGUCCGUCAACAGAGAUGUUCGAAAAGCGAGGGAUCACUGUAGAAGUUUAUAAAAUUAUGCAUGGCAUUGAGAAGGUGGAUAGUAAUUUUCUCUCUCUUAACUCACAGACAUCCAAUGAAGCUGAAUGUUGGAAGAUUUAGGACAGAUAAAAGAAAGUACUUCUUCACGCAAUGCAUAGUUAAACUCUGGAAUUCACUCUUCCUGGAGGCAGUGAUGGCCCCCAACUUGGAUGGCUUUAAAAGAGGAUUGGAUUGGAC